CCUACGUGAGGCAGCAGUGAGGAAUAUUGGUCAAUGGACGAGAGUCUGAACCAGCCAAGUAGCGUGAAGGAUGACUGCCCUAUGGGUUGUAAACUUCUUUUAUAAAGGAAUAAAACGAGUCACGUGUGCCUUUUUGCAUGUACUUUAUGAAUAAGGAUCGGCUCACUCCGUGCCAGCAGCCGCGGUAAUACGGAGGAUCCGAGCGUUAUCCGGAUUUAUUGGGUUUAAAGGGAGCGUAGAUGGGUUGUUAAGUCAGUUGUGAAAGUGUGCGGCUCAACAGUAAAAUUGCAAUUGAUACUGGCAGUCUGGAGUACAGUUGAGGUAGGCGGAAUUCGUGGUGUAGCGGUGAAAUGCUUAGAUAUCACGAAGAACCCCGAUUGCGAAGGCAGCUUACUAAACUGUGACUGACAUUGAGGCUCGAAAGUGUGGGUAUCAAACAGGAGUAGAUACCCGGGUAGUC
This 460-nucleotide ribosomal RNA is filed under the name uncultured bacterium. RNAcentral's name for it is "partial 16S ribosomal RNA". It matches the Rfam family "Bacterial small subunit ribosomal RNA", at positions 338 to 795 of the family's 1533-position model. The record is from RNAcentral.